Molecule: ribosomal RNA, 497 nt
Filed under: uncultured bacterium
Lineage: Bacteria
Description: partial 16S ribosomal RNA
Rfam family: Bacterial small subunit ribosomal RNA
Source: RNAcentral
GAUGAACGCUGGCGGCGUGCCUAAUACAUGCCAGUCGAGCGAACGGACGAGAAGCUUGCUUCUCUGAUGUUAGCGGCGGACGGGUGAGUAACACGUGGAUAACCUACCUAUAAGACUGGGAUAACUUCGGGAAACCGGAGCUAAUACCGGAUGAUAUUUUGAACCGCAUGGUUCAAAAGUGAAAGACGGUCUUGCUGUCACUUAUAGAUGGAUCCGCGCUGCAUUAGCUAGUUGGUAAGGUAACGGCUUACCAAGGCAACGAUGCAUAGCCGACCUGAGAGGGUGAUCGGCCACACUGGAACUGAGACACGGUCCAGACUCCUACGGGAGGCAGCAGUAGGGAAUCUUCCGCAAUGGGCGAAAGCCUGACGGAGCAACGCCGCGUGAGUGAUGAAGGUCUUCGGAUCGUAAAACUCCGUUAUUAGGGAAGAACAUAUGUGUAAGUAACUGUGCACAUCUUGACGGUACCUAAUCAGAAAGCCACGGCUAACUACGUG